GUUUGAUCCUGGCUCAGAACGAACGCUGGCGGCAGGCCUAACACAUGCAAGUCGAACGANGCCUUCGGNCUUAGCGGCGGACGGGUNAGUAACGCNUGGNAACGUGCCCUUURCUACGGAAUAGUCCCGGGAAACUAGGUUUAAUACCGUAUAUGCUCUACGGGGGAAAGAUUUAGCGGUAAAGGAUCGGCCCGCGUUGGAUUAGGUAGUUGGUGGGGUAAUGGCCUACCAAGCCNACGAUCMAUAGCUGGUUUGAGAGGAUGAUCAGCCACACUGGGACUGAGACACGGCCCAGACUCCUACGGGAGGCAGCAGUGGGGAAUCUUAGACAAUGGGGGAAAGCCUGAUCUAGCCAUGCCGCGUGAGYGAUGAAGGCCCUAGGGUUGUAAAGCUCUUUCGCUGGGGAAGAUAAUGACGGUACCCAGUAAAGAAGCCCCGGCUAACUCCGUGCCAGCAGCCGCGGUAAUACGGAGGGGGCUAGCGUUGUUCGGAAUUACUGGGCGUAAAGCGCRCGUAGGCGGAUUGGAAAGUUGGGGGUGAAAUCCCGGGGCUCAACCCCGGAACUGCCUCCAANACUAUCAGUCUGGAGUUCGAUAGAGGUGAGUGNAAUUCCGAGUGUAGAGGUGAAAUUCGUAGAUAUUCGGAGGAACACCAGUGGCGAAGGCGGCUCACUGGCUCGAUACUGACGCUGAGGUGCGAAAGUGUGGGGAGCAAACAGGAUUAGAUACCCUGGUAGUCCACACCGUAAACGAUGAAUGCCAGUCGUCGGCAAGCAUGCUUGUCGGUGACACACCUAACGGAUUAAGCAUUCCGCCUGGGGAGUACGGUCGCAAGAUUAAAACUCAAAGGAAUURACGGGGGCCCGCACAAGCGGUGGAGCAUGUNGUUUAAUUCGAAGCAACGCGCAGAACCUUACCAACCCUUGACAUGGGUAUCGCNGGACGAGAGAUCGUCCUUUCAGUUCGGCUGGAUACCACAGGUGCUGCAUGGCUGUNGUCAGCUCGUGUCGUGAGAUGUUCGGUUAAGUCCGGCAACGAGCGCAACCCACRUUCCUUACUUGCCAGCAGUUCAAGCUGGGCACUCUAAGGAAACUGCCGAUGAUANGUCGGAGGAAGGUGUGGAUGACGUCAAGUCCUCAUGGCCCUUACGGGUUGGGCUACACACGUGCUACAAUGGUAGUGACAGUGGGAUAAUCCCAAAAAGCUAUCUCAGUUCGGAUUGGGGUCUGCNACACGACCCCAUGAAGUCGGAAUCGCUAGUAAUCGCGGAACAGCAUGCCGCGGUGAAUACGUUCCCGGGCCUUGUACACACCGCCCGUCACACCAUGGGAGUUGGGNNNACCCGAAG
This 1347-nucleotide ribosomal RNA is filed under the name Roseinatronobacter thiooxidans. RNAcentral describes it as "16S ribosomal RNA". It matches the Rfam family "Bacterial small subunit ribosomal RNA". The record is from RNAcentral. Lineage: Bacteria; Pseudomonadati; Pseudomonadota; Alphaproteobacteria; Rhodobacterales; Paracoccaceae.